CUCCGUGUCCCUUCCGGGGCUCCGUAGUUUUAAACAUUCGCGCUCACAGCCUCCUACCUUACAGACCAUCAUGGCGUCCUGUUCGGCUGCUCCAGGUCUCGACAACAGCGGAUCAUUUCUGUGUGAUAAUUAUGAAAACUUUGUGAGUUCAGCGGUUAAUCCUCCGUCUAAAGCAGGGACUUGUGUGUACGAUCGUCAGUUCCUGCUUGGACUACGGACUUUGAACACUUUUCAAGCCGUAAACUCGGACACUCUGGAGAGGCUCCGGAGCUCCGGACUGCUGCGGCCAGCGGCUGAGGUGGCGGCGGGGCUUCCUGCCUUCACAGACCGGCGCAGGGAGAGACGGCGGCGGGGCUGCAGGGCUGGGCUAAAGGCUAAGCUGAGAGCUAACCCGUUUCAAACGCUGCUCCCGUCUGUUAUACUGGCUAACGUACAGUCCCUGGAGAACAAACUGGACCAUCUAAAGCUCGAUGUGACCACCAGACGGGAGGUGAGAGACUGCUGUGUCCUGAUUCUGACCGAGUCGGGGCUGAACUCGGCGGUACCUGACGCCGCCAUUAGCCUCCAGGGGCUAACUACGUUCCGAGUGGAUGGGAGCCGGGGUGGAGUGCGAACACUAAGGAGGCCCUGAGUGUUCUGUACCAGACCAUCACACAGCUGCAAACCACACAUCCAGAGGGCAUCUUCAUUGUAGCUGGAGAUUUCAAUCAGGCCGACAUGAAGACUGUUCUCCCCCAUUUCCACCAACAUGUGGACUUUGCAGCUAGAGGAUGCGACACACCUUACUUUGUUUACACCAACAUCAGGAAUGGUUAUAAAGCUGCCCCCCGCCCCCACCUCGGCUUCUCUGACCAUGUGUCUGUGAUGCUAACACCAGCAUACAGACCCCCGCUGACCAGAGGAAACCCCGCUGGGAGGCAGGUGAGGGUCUGAGGGAGAUGGAAGCCCUACAGGACUGGACAUGUUCAGAGCUGCUGCAGUGGACAAUGGACACCAACGUGGAGGAGAACUCUGCAUCUGCAUCAUGAAACACAUCUCCACCAGGCCCAAAGCCAUGGAGGAAUGGGAGAAGCUGCAAAUAAUACCGACAACUAGGGAUGGGACCGAUACCAACAUAAUUCACCAAUCCAUGAAUCACGUUUGUUGAAAUGACUCCACAGUGAUUCCCUGCACCACAAAUUAACCCUCCUGUGUUAAACGUUAAGAUAAUUCGAGAAUUUACUCAACAUUUGUCCAGUUUUAAAGAGAUUUUAUUCAGGUGCAGCUGCUGAAAUGUGUUCAAAAUGUAGAAAUUAGCCCUAUUUUUGUGAGCUUCUUUUAUAGAUACUUGACAUGUCUAACAAAGUUUUUCAUUUACAGUGAAAACCAAACGUUUUUAUCUUCUAACAAACUGGCAACAAGAUGAUUAAAUGUUUUUCGGGACUUCGGGGGUUUCAUAGAUUUUCGAGCAGAACCAGAAAUCUAAGAAUCUUUGAAGGUUUCGAUGCUUUUAGAGCCCAAAGAACACUGAUGACCAAAAUGUGUACAGGACACUGAAAACAUAUCAUCACAUUAAUGUUGUACGAAAAGUCAUUAAAUAUGAAGGAAAAAAGAUGUUGAUCAUUUAUUUAGAGAUGUUAAACACUGAAUGGAGUCAAAGAUAAUUAGAGAAUUUAUUCAACAUUUGUCCAGUUUUAAAGUGAUUUUUAUUCAGGUUCUGCUGCUGAAAUAUGUUUCUAACAAACUGCGUUAGAGAAGUUUACCCUUUGUGUGUUUCUGUCUUGGAUUUAAUAAAUACUGAGUCAAUUUGAAA
Molecule: long non-coding RNA, 1792 nt
Organism: Amphiprion ocellaris (clown anemonefish)
Lineage: Eukaryota; Metazoa; Chordata; Actinopteri; Pomacentridae
Source: Ensembl